This 218-nucleotide long non-coding RNA is filed under the name Elaeis guineensis (African oil palm). Its description in RNAcentral is "long non-coding RNA (EGUI_LNC068868)". Lineage: Eukaryota; Viridiplantae; Streptophyta; Magnoliopsida; Arecales; Arecaceae. The record is from RNAcentral.
UGGCCGAGCCAUACUCAGGUCUAGAUAUCUGUUUUGUUGGAUGCACUUGAUGUUGUCAUGUUAAUGGUUGGACCUAACCAAAAUUUUUAGUGGAGGCACCACAUGCCUGCUGAAGAGAUGCCUGAGGCAAAAUCUGAUUGCUAGAAAUUAUUUGAAGAAAUAAUUAGUUAUGAACCUACCCAUAGAUGCACUAGGGUUGGCUGAGCUACACUCGGGCC